RNAcentral lists this transfer RNA (73 nucleotides) under Camelus bactrianus (Bactrian camel). It matches the Rfam family "tRNA". Rfam says of the family: Transfer RNA (tRNA) molecules are approximately 80 nucleotides in length. Lineage: Eukaryota; Metazoa; Chordata; Mammalia; Artiodactyla; Camelidae. RNAcentral also lists the same sequence under 2 other names. The record is from Rfam by way of RNAcentral.
GAGGGUAUAGCUCAAGUGGUAGAGUGCAUGCUUAGCAUGCACGAGGUCCUGGGUUCAAUCCCCAGUGCCUCUU